AGUGAACGCUGGCGGUAGGCCUAACACAUGCAAGUCGAACGGCAGCACAGGAGAGCUUGCUCUCUGGGUGGCGAGUGGCGGACGGGUGAGGAAUACAUCGGAAUCUACUCUGUCGUGGGGGAUAACGUAGGGAAACUUACGCUAAUACCGCAUACGACCUACGGGUGAAAGCAGGGGACCUUCGGGCCUUGCGCGAUUGGAUGAGCCGAUGUCGGAUUAGAUAGUUGGCGGGGUAAAGGCCCACCAAGGCGACGAUCCGUAGCUGGUCUGAGAGGGUGAUCAGCCACACUGGAACUGAGACACGGUCCAGACUCCUACGGGAGGCAGCAGUGGGGAAUAUUGGACAAUGGGCGCAAGCCUGAUCCAGCCAUACCGCGUGGGUGAAGAAGGCCUUCGGGUUGUAAAGCCCUUUUGUUGGGAAAGAAAUCCAGCUGGCUAAUACCCGGUUGGGAUGACGGUACCCAAAGAAUAAGCACCGGCUAACUUCGUGCCAGCCGCCGCAGUAA
Molecule: ribosomal RNA, 506 nt
Filed under: uncultured bacterium
Lineage: Bacteria
Description: partial 16S ribosomal RNA
Rfam family: Bacterial small subunit ribosomal RNA
Source: RNAcentral